GGGGGCAUAGCUCAGCUGGGAGAGCACCUGCCUUGCAAGCAGGGGGUCAGCGGUUCGAUCCCGCUUGUCUCCA
The sequence is a transfer RNA, 73 nucleotides long. It matches the Rfam family "tRNA". Rfam says of the family: Transfer RNA (tRNA) molecules are approximately 80 nucleotides in length. Their secondary structure includes four short double-helical elements and three loops (D, anti-codon, and T loops). The record is from Rfam.